UGGGCGGAGGGGCUCGUUAUGGGAAAGGGGUGCGUGCGCGUUUGUGCUAAAACAAGAAAGGCAAGAAUCUCCGAGAACAAAACUCUGGUCCUCGCCUGGCCGGGGACCGCAGAAGACAGGGGCGGCAGCGCCAAGGCGGGUCAGGGGCCGGUCCAGCCAAGUUUGCUCCGGCUUAGAUAAACUUUCUGAUGGCAGUUUUUCCUGGUUGCAGCCUGGGUUCCUUGUAACAGGGCCUUCCCUCCCCUCCUCCUCUUUCCUCUCCUCUCCCCUCCCCUCCCCUCCUUUCUCCCCCUUCCUCCUCUUCCUCCUCCUCCUCUUGCUCCUCCCGGGCGGGGAAACCCAGCCCCGCGCUCGUCUUUGGGGCCACCGGUCGCCCCCGCCUCCGGGACCUGCGGGGAGGGCCCGCGAGAGGUUUUUAAUAUACAUACAAAACCCUGAAUGGUCAAUUUUUGUGUUGUAGAUGGAGACGAGAGAUCUGGACUUCUGAACAUCUACCGGAAAAGAUAAAAUGUGCAAGCCCUUCAGAACGCUGGGGAGGUUGGGCUGAACUGCAGUGGGAGAGGAGAAGAGAUGCUGGCGUGAAGGGGUGGGGCAGAAGAUCAGGGGAAAAUUGCGGAUGAUCUGAAUGAUAGCAGUGACCACCAGCAACCUACAGAGCUGCCCAACCAGGAAAUUGUCAGAUGGAAGCAACGCUUGCAGGCAAAGAAGGCUGAAGCAGGCCAAGGCAGGAAUGAAACAGUCAUAAAUGUUGGAGUGAAGCGACUGACCUCCCCGGUCCACACCCCGGCCCAGCGUCCUGCAUCUGCUGGAGGAUGGUGGAGACCAUGUGGAGGAUGGGGACUUGGCAGUGGAGGAGAACAUGGAAGCAGGAUAUGGCAGUCCCCUAGCGUCCCAGCCACAAGUCCUCUGAAGAGUGUGGAUGACGAUGGUGACUUAGGUGCAUCCUUCGAAUGUCCUGAGGGGGAGACUGGAGAAGCAGACACGCAAUUGUGGGAAGAAAUCAAAGGCAUAAAGAACUCACAGCACAAGUCCAAAGUCUGAUCAGCGAGCAGGCCUCUCUGCAGGGUGCAAGGGCACAGCUGGAGAGGG
This 1089-nucleotide long non-coding RNA is filed under the name Homo sapiens (human). Its description in RNAcentral is "HSALNT0265136". Lineage: Eukaryota; Metazoa; Chordata; Mammalia; Primates; Hominidae. The record is from RNAcentral.